UGGAAAGUCUAUACCUCUACUUAUCAUAUUUGGCACUUUUGUUUGAGUGGUUCUUGACCUUACGUGUUUUGCGGACGGAUUGUUAUGGCUGCUUGGCAUUUCACAUUGCGCUUCUAAGACAAACUUCCUUUGAGGUAAAACGCACAAACAUUUCGAGCCGAUGUCGACACAUCGUGGUCGUCGCCAACAAGAAAGUCGUCAUGUUCUGCAAGAACGUCGUCAAUAAUCUAAAAUUAUAAAAUUGUCCUCAAUUUGGUAAUGCUAUUUAGCUUAGUUUUUAUAAAUGUAAACAAAUAUCGCUAACUAUAACUAUAAUAAUCAC
Xenia sp. Carnegie-2017 is the source of this 322-nucleotide long non-coding RNA. RefSeq lists it as uncharacterized. The record is from RefSeq and is a predicted model, not a curated record. The transcript is spliced from 2 exons. NCBI's taxonomy places the organism in Eukaryota, Metazoa, Cnidaria, Anthozoa, Malacalcyonacea, Xeniidae.